Molecule: transfer RNA, 85 nt
Filed under: Vampirovibrionales bacterium
Lineage: Bacteria; Bacillati; Candidatus Melainabacteria; Vampirovibriophyceae; Vampirovibrionales
Also listed under: 3 other names
Description: tRNA-Leu
Rfam family: tRNA
About the family: Transfer RNA (tRNA) molecules are approximately 80 nucleotides in length. Their secondary structure includes four short double-helical elements and three loops (D, anti-codon, and T loops).
Source: RNAcentral
GUCGGAGUGGCGGAAUCGGUAGACGCGCACGCUUGAGGGGCGUGUACCGCAAGGUGUAGGGGUUCAAGUCCCCUCUCCGACACCA